This is a long non-coding RNA of Carya illinoinensis, 3934 nucleotides long. RefSeq lists it as uncharacterized. NCBI's taxonomy places the organism in Eukaryota, Viridiplantae, Streptophyta, Magnoliopsida, Fagales, Juglandaceae. The record is from RefSeq and is a predicted model, not a curated record. The transcript has 4 exons.
ACGAAAGCAUGUUUUAAAUUUCCCCCCAAUUUCUUUCUUGCUUUUCCACUUUUCUCUGUUCUUUCCUUCUCCAAAAUCGCACGCCCACCCCAAGCUAAGUUCCUCUACCUCAUUUUCAUAAAUUCAUUUCCCUUAUAGUGUCUCUGCCCCCGCUGGUCCUUUGCACCCACACCAUCUCCCUGCAUUUUUGUCCACCACCACCAUUCAUUGGCGCCAUCUCAGGGGGGUCUCUUUCCUUCCCUCUCUCCUCUGCCUCUCUUCCCGACUCUCUCUCUCUCUCUCUCUCUCUCUCUCUCUCAGAGUUUUGGGCAAAACUCUAAUAUGUUUACUGUUACAACUACCUCCACCGUCGUUUGGACACUAGCGCCGCCACACUCAAUAGCCUAAGAUGCUCCUCCCGUUCCUAUAGAUUGAUCUGCCCCACCCGCCGGUGAUGCCUUCUACUACCACUCGACCUGCGACGCCACAAGAAACAUGUGACUGCUCCUCCCGUUCCUAUAGAUUGAUCUGCCCCACCCACCGGUGAUGCCUUCUACUGCCACUCAACCUGCGACGCCGCAAGAAACAUGUGACUUUCGAUUUAGGUACUCUUAUGCCUCUCUAUAUCUCUAUGGUUGAUAUCCCCACUAAGGAGGCUGUUGUGAUUGAUUCCCGGAUGCCCAUUUUUUGUGUCCCUAAGCUGGAUUUUUCUCUUGUUUUGGUCAAUCUUGGUUCUACUCAUUUGUAACCCUUAGUUGUGUUUGUUUGUGUGGAUUUACCCUUAUUGGCGGUAGAACCUUUUUAGAAAUUUCUUCCUUCUGCAAAUGCAUCCUUUAAAUCAUUGUUUGUUAAUGAUAAACGUAAACAUUUUAAUCAAUGUGACCAAAAAUCUGCUCCAUAGUGCAUGCAAGACCCACAUAAGAACCAAGAAUUAGCAUCUAGUAACUAGGACAACUAUUAUAUAUAAAUCUCAACUCGGAUUAAAACUUAGUGUUCAAUCUUGCCUGGAACCCACACAUGUGAAAAACAGGAAAAGACAAAAAAGACAAAACAAUUGUGGUGCCAAUUUGUGUCGCAUAAAUCUGAUUAUUGUUUUGUACUUUUUGGGACCAAGGAAAAUAAAGGUGGGAUUUUCUUGCUCUUAUUAUUAUUAUAAUUUUUUUUUUUUUUUUUUUUUUUGUGAUUCAAAACUAAUAAAACAAUGUGAUGUUCCAAUUUUUAAAACAAUGAUUUGUUCCAAUUCAUUGUGUUUGUUAGUUAUGAAGGAAUAUGGUAUUAACGAAUUGUGAAUUAUUAAUGUUUUAUGUUCGUUUGAUGAUUAUUUUUUUGUUUUCAAGAUGAUAGAUAAUGAGUAUAAAUUUAUUUAUUACCUAUAAAAAAGUAUAGAUUUAUGUAUUAAAAAAAUAUUUUUAGUAUAAACUUUAUAUAUAUAUAUAUAUAUAGAUAUGCAUAUAUUGAGUAAUCCUGAAAUGCUACAUUGGUACACACUGCUACCAAAUAUUCCGUUCUAGUAUCUAAACCAAAAUACCAUUGGAAUUGAAUUCAAAAGUUUGCUUUUCACUUGAAAAUUUCAAGGUUACACAUGAAAAACUUCUAGGCUGGUUAGCAAAACAAAUAUGAGGAUAUGAAUAUGUAUAUGUAAUUAGUGGGCUGUUUUCACGUAGCACUUAGAAGGUAAUUAAUUAAACAGAAUCCAAAGUGAUGCAAAAGAGUUGUGAUUAAAAUACCAUAUCUAUACAGAUUUAUAACACAUUAUAAAUCUGUACAGAUAUAUAUAUUUACACCAAAUAUAUGUAUGCUGGAUUUCUUAUCUGUACAUCCAUCUAUUAAUAUAUCUAAAUAUAUAUGUGAUCCUGACUUGAUCAGCAUGCGCAUUUGGUUGUCUAGUGUUUAGAAAUUAUGUUGGUUUUGACUUCAAUGCCUCUUGCUUUAAUACUUUAAGAUCAUAAACUUAUCUAUAUAAAUAUAUAUAUAUAUAUAUAUGUAGAGACACACAUAUUGUUGUUAAUUUCUAGGGCAGUUAAAGCCUUGAAGAGUUGAGGAUAUUCAGCUGUUAUUGGUGGCCAUAUUGACUCUUGGUCGGUUUAGACUUUAGACAGAAUUUAACCAGCUAUCUUGAGGUUGAUGCACCAUAUAUAACAUUAACAAAGAAGGCAAAAUUCUCAAUGCAUUCUUGCAGCAUUUUCAAUCUAAAUAUAUAUAUAUAUAUAUAUAUAUAUAUAAAAUAACUUCAUACUAAAUAUAUAAUAGUUUGAGAUGUAAAAUUACUUACUAAUUAUUUUUUUUCCAUAACUCCAAGUGAAUCCUCUAUCUUUUUGGUACAAGUCUUCCAAAUAGAUAUAUAAAUAUCUUGGUUUUGAUGCAUUUCUUUGUUUGAAAUUUUAUUACAGAUCUAUAUAUAGUGACUAGUGUAGUACUCAAAUGCAAUUAGGCUACUAUAUAUAUAUAUAUUCUUCUUGAGAAAUAUAUACAGUGUAGCACUCAAAUUCAAUUAGGUUGUUUGAGGUCUGAUCAUUGAUGAUCAGACUACCCAUUUGUGUUGACCUCGCUGUAUUAAGGCUACACAUUCUGCUGAACUGCAUGCUAUUCAAUGCAUAAGGACAAAUCUAAGGACAUUUUGUUAUUCAAUGCAUAAAGUACCCGUUCGUUUACUGAUUUGCAAACUGCAUGCAUUGCUGAUUGGUAUUAGAUAUAGUUAGUCAAUGCACACAGUCAUAUAUGCAUUAUAUGGAGCCAAAUUGAACAUCACUUAUUCAAAAGAAUAAAUGAAUAUUUGUUAUAAUGGAUCUGUAUCGUAUGAAUUAUUUGUUUAUCUGUAACUUUUACUGCAUAGGUUCUACAAGUACAAAGUAAAAUGUUACAAAUAAAAUGGAAAUUCAAAACUAUUCUUGUUUUAGUACUAAUGUGACAACAUCGAUAAUAUUAUAAACUGGACUCAACAUGUAAGUUUCUUGUUGUAAAGCUUGCAAUAUAUAUCUUCAACAUUUUUGAAUAAAAAAACGAGAGCUGGAAAAUGAAUGAGAACUGAAAAUUUCUUCCAAUCGCACCCCCUCCAAAAAAAAAAAAAAAAAAAAAAGAAACAAACAAAAAAUAAAAGGAAUCUCAUAACUGGUGGAGAUUAGAGUCAUGACCAUUGUCAGGCUCCAAUUUCUCUUUUGUCUCUUUCAAUCUCUUCCCAACCACGAGGAAUUAUAAUCAUGAAACAAAUGGAUCAACUCUAGUACUAUAUCAAAUGGCCCUUCCUACUCUAUUGAGCAUGGCCAUUCUUCAAGAAAAAUGAAGAAAAAGGACUAGAUGCUGUGAAUUCAGUCAAAAUUAUGUGGGACAUUAGCAUUCAAAAUAAUGGAUCUGUAGCCUUAUUGUUAAAACAAUAAGGAUUUCCCUUGUUUCUAUGACUUCAUGCUCUUUUCACUUUCUAGGUUUUUUGUUUUACUAAUCUAUUGGUGUUGUGUCUUUCCAGAAAACUCAUAUACAGGAAAUGUACUGCUCCUUUAUAACUGCUCUGAUGGUGUGUACAUAUGCAUUUUAUGUAUAAUUGCCAGAUUGGUGUGUCCAGAUGGAAAUAUCAAAUAUCCAACAAGUAUAAGGGCUGAUGCAGUCUUGUGAGUUGUUUUGUCCACCCUUCAUGCCCAGGUGCAUAUUGCUAUAUCUAACUAGAUAUAAUUUAUAAAGAUAGAGUAGCACAAUUGACAUAUUUGAAUGAAUGUCAAUUACAUUUCCGAAUCUGUCUGACUUUAGUAGUUAAGUUGUAGGUUUUGGGUUCUAUUUGUUCCACCAUGGUGUAUGGCCCAUUUCUAAUUAGUUUAUUGUUUUUCUCUGGUAUAAUGGGUCUUGUGGGUUGCUUGGAUUGGGUCUCUCAAUAUGGGAAGAAAGAAUUGAAUCUCUAUGACAUUUGCUCUAUGAACCAUGUAAAAUUACUACUGAAUACAGUUUUAGUAGUAUUUUUUUUUUUUAA